RNAcentral lists this ribosomal RNA (677 nucleotides) under uncultured bacterium. RNAcentral's name for it is "bacterial SSU rRNA". It matches the Rfam family "Bacterial small subunit ribosomal RNA", at positions 62 to 736 of the family's 1533-position model. The record is from RNAcentral.
UCGAACGGUAACAGGCCUUCGGGCGCUGACGAGUGGCGGACGGGUGAGUAACGCGUAGGAAUCUGCCUUGUAGUGGGGGACAACGUGGGGAAACCCACGCUAAUACCGCAUACGCCCUACGGGGGAAAGCGGGGGAUCUUCGGACCUCGCGCUAUGAGAUGAGCCUGCGUUAGAUUAGCUAGUUGGUAGGGUAAAGGCCUACCAAGGCGACGAUCUAUAGCUGGUCUGAGAGGACGAUCAGCCACACUGGGACUGAGACACGGCCCAGACUCCUACGGGAGGCAGCAGUGGGGAAUAUUGGACAAUGGGCGCAAGCCUGAUCCAGCAAUACCGCGUGUGUGAAGAAGGCCUUCGGGUUGUAAAGCACUUUCAAUUGGGAGGAAAACCUGCCGGUCAAUACCCGGUAGCUUGACAUUACCUUUAGAAGAAGCACCGGCUAACUCCGUGCCAGCAGCCGCGGUAAUACGGAGGGUGCGAGCGUUAAUCGGAAUUACUGGGCGUAAAGCGUGCGUAGGUGGUUCGUUAAGUCAGAUGUGAAAGCCCCGGGCUCAACCUGGGAACUGCAUUUGAAACUGGCGGACUAGAGUUUAGUAGAGGGGGAGUGGAAUUUCAGGUGUAGCGGUGAAAUGCGUAGAUAUCUGAAGGAACACCAGUGGCGAAGGCGACUCCCUGGACUC